GCGAGGCUGCUGGAGCGAGGCCCAGGAGAGGAUCGGGAGACGCGAGGUGGGCGGGGCGACGCUGCCGGAAGUCGGGCUGUGGCCUCCUGGAGCGGCGGGGGCGGGCCCGGCCGGCCCGGUUCUGGUCUGGCUCGGUGCUAAUGGACUGGGAGUAGGGGUGCCCCAGGUCCAGCGGGAGCGUACCCGCUUAGGAGUAGCCCAGGCACUGCCUGGCACCAGACUGCCCCAGCAAAUGUUUUCCCUCUCUAGGCCUCAUCGGAUCUCCCGGACUAACCAAAACAAAAUGAUGACCUAACUGUUGAGAACCGCUACUUUCUUCAUGCAAAGGCAAUGUCUUGGUCUGUUUUCUGUUGCUGUCACUGAGCACUACAGAUUGGGUGAUUCACAAAGAACCGAGAUUUAUUUAGUUCCUGCUCUUGGAGACUAGAAAGCCCAACACCAUGGCGCUGGCAUCCGUUUGGCAGAAGGUAAGAGCCUUCCAGCCGCCUCCUAACAUGGCAGAGGGCACCGCAGACAGGGCGGAGCAGGUGUGCUAGCUUGGAUCUCUCCCCCCCUUUUAAAGACUUGUUUAUUUAUUUGAAAGGCAGAAUUACAGAGAGAGAGAGAAAGAGAGAGGGAGGGAAACAGGUCUUUCGUUUGCUGGUUCACUCUCCAAACAUCAGCAGGAAGCUGGAUCGGAAGUGGAGCAGCUAGAAUUGAAAGCAGCACUCUUAUGGGAUGCCAGCAUCACAGGGGGUGGCUUAACCCUCUGGCCCCGCUCUUCCUUUUCUUAUAAAACUUCCAAUGCCAUCGUGGGCAUUCCACCCUCAUGACUUCCUCUUAUCCUAAUCAUCUUCCAAAGGCCCUGCCUCUGGAUACCAUCAGUAUAUGAAUUUGUUCAUGGAGUUUCCAACAUAUGAACUUCUAGAGGAUGCUAAGCUUAGCAGAUGAUUGUACAGGCUCCUGUGUGCUCCACAGGUCAAGGAUCCUGAUGUGAAUCUUCCACACUCUCUUGGGUUUUCUGCCAAUGCAGACCCUGGGAGGCAGCAGCAAGGGCUCCAGUAGUUGUUUUCCUGCCACCCACGUGAGAGCCUGGGAUUGAGAUCCUGGCCUCAGGCACAGUGGGCUGUUGCAGGCAUCUGGGGAGUAAACUAGCAAAUGAAAGCUCUCUCUCUCUCUCUGAUAAAAUUUAAAAGAGCUUUUUUUUUCUUUCCUUAAAGGAAGCAUACAGAGAGACAAAGAGCAUGCCUAGAGGAACACGGUGUGAGGACACAGAGGGAAGAUGGCAGGCUGCAAGCCAGGAAGGGGGGUCUCAG
This 1295-nucleotide long non-coding RNA is filed under the name Oryctolagus cuniculus (rabbit). RNAcentral describes it as "lncRNA (ENSOCUG00000031774.1)". The record is from RNAcentral. Lineage: Eukaryota; Metazoa; Chordata; Mammalia; Lagomorpha; Leporidae.